RNAcentral lists this ribosomal RNA (253 nucleotides) under uncultured bacterium. RNAcentral describes it as "partial 16S ribosomal RNA". It matches the Rfam family "Bacterial small subunit ribosomal RNA", at positions 524 to 776 of the family's 1533-position model. The record is from RNAcentral.
UACGGAGGGGGCAAGCGUUGUUCGGAAUUACUGGGCGUAAAGGGCUCGUAGGCGGCCUACUAAGUCAUACGUGAAAUCCCUCGGCUUAACCGGGGAACUGCGUCUGAUACUGGAUGGCUUGAGGUUGGGAGAGGGAUGCGGAAUUCCAGGUGUAGCGGUGAAAUGCGCAGAUAUCAGGAAGAACACCCGUGGCUAAGGCGGCUCUCUAGUACGGUACUGACGCUGAGACGCGAAAGCGUGGGGAGCGAACAGG